Molecule: ribosomal RNA, 446 nt
Filed under: uncultured bacterium
Lineage: Bacteria
Description: partial 16S ribosomal RNA
Rfam family: Bacterial small subunit ribosomal RNA
Source: RNAcentral
CCUACGGGGGGCAGCAGUCGAGAAUCAUUCACAAUGGGGGAAACCCUGAUGGUGCGACGCCGCGUGGGGGAAUGAAGGUCUUCGGUUUGUAAACCCCUGUCAUGUGGGAGCAAAUUAAAAAGAUAGUACCACAAGAGGAAGAGACGGCUAACUCUGUGACAGCAGCCGCGGUAAUACAGAGGUCCCAAGCGUUGUUCGGAUUCACUGGGCGUAAAGCGUGCGUAGGCGGUUGCGUAAGUCGUGUGUGAAAGGCGCGGGCUCAACCCGCGGACGGCACAUGAUACUGCGAGACUAGAGUAAUGGAGGGGGAACCGGAAUUUUCGGUGUAGGAGUGAAAUGCGUAGAUAUCGAGAGGAACACUCGUGGCGAAGGCGGGUUCCUGGACAUUAACUGACGCUGAGGCACGAAGGCCAGGGGAGCGAAAGGGAUUAGAUACCCCUGUAGUC